This 5291-nucleotide long non-coding RNA is filed under the name Homo sapiens (human). RNAcentral describes it as "HSALNT0181594". The record is from RNAcentral. Lineage: Eukaryota; Metazoa; Chordata; Mammalia; Primates; Hominidae.
CUGUAGGCCAGGCCCAUGUAUGGGCAUUCAGCACUGGCUACACGAAUUCAAAUUGAGGGACUUCCUGGACAUCCUCUCAUCUGCGACAGACCAAACAACCUCCCGGUGCCUCGCCUGCUGUGGGUGAGGCCUCCUUCCCGGGCUCAGGCCUGCAGGCUCUGCCCAAGCACUGCCCCCUUGCUUCCUCCAUGGUAAGUAAACUCCCCAGAAGAGGAAUCUUAGUGCCUGGUGCUAAAGAACCCCCAAAACAGAGGCGGGCUCGGAGCCCCUGCUUCGAGAGUCGACACAGUUCCUUCGGUGGCGGGGCCGGGCAGCUCAGGCCUGGCACCAUGAUACCUUGCUCAGUGCUGGGUGCCGCCUUGGCCCUUCCCCUGGCCCCGAGCUUAUAUUUUCCCCACCUUCUUCCUGACUUCCCACUUCCAUCCCACUCUCAGCGCCACCUCCACCCCAUCACAUCCCCCUUCCCUGGACGGCACAGAUUCUCCAGAGGUGUGGGGACAGUGGCUGUUUUAUUUUUGUUCCUCCUUAGAUGUUCUGUUUGUUGAGCGAAUUAUUUUCUUCCUGGCUCCGAGCUGGCGGCUGACACGGCUCACCCGCGCUAAUUAGCUAAGCCAGCUGGUGCGUUGGUAAGGUUUUUCUGUGCUCCUCGGUGUGUGUUUCUUUUUUUAAACAUGAUCAAUACCCUGUCCGGCUGGGCUCCCUCACACACUCCCUAUUGUUCUCCUGUUUGCAUUGUGCCUGAGUCCUGGUCAAGGACUCGGGGAGCCUCGGAAGACACGCUUUUCCCGCGGCUGGCGUUCAGCCUGGAGCCGGGGAGACACCGCGCAGCAGAUGUGGCUCGACCCCCUGCUCCGCGCCUGCAGCUUGCAGUGAUUUUCCGUAGCUGUGGACAGUGCCUCAGGAAGCCCACAUGGAUGCCAGACAGUCGGGUAAAGAUGAGAAAUUGCUGUGUGGCUCCGGGGCAGAUUGCCUUGCCUCUCUGAGCCUCUGCUUCUUUCUUUGUAAAAGAAGUCGGUUCCCAGUUCCAGUGUGAGUCUCCUACAUACUAUGAUUCUCAAAGGUUUCAAAGGGCAUCCGGAGAUGGGGGCCCUCCCCGUGAGUAGGGGUACAAGGUCACAAACAGGAUCUUGUUCACUCCUGCUGCAGUCCUGGAGUUAAACAAUAUAGACCUUUGCCAAGUGAGCUCCGGAAGAGGCCACAACCAGACAGGGGUGGGCUGAAGGCCCGACCCCCCUCCUCCAGCUGGUGCUGUCCUCCCCACAGUUCCCUGGAGUCUGCCUGCUUAUUUUGUGCAAGAGACACAAGAAGAUUCUCUGAAGCUCUCCCUUCCCCACUGUCGUUCAGCUGUAGUGAUUGGGAGCCCACAAUGUGCACUGCGGAGAAGAUAGCUCCAACAUGUUUUUAAUAUAAUUGUAGAUUUUAAAUCUGGAAGGAAUCUGACAAGUCACUUGGUUGGCUCAACCUUCCAUCUUUAGGCAAAUAGAGGAUUUGUAAUCAGAAGACCUGAAUUUGAAUCCGAGAUCUACCACUUAACACCGGUAUCUAGAACUCUGAGCAACUUGUUUGACCUUUCCCAGUCUCAUUUUCUUCAAAUGUAAGAAAAGAGUUGUAUUAACAAAUAUCUGCCCAUCUCAUAGAUUUGUUGUGAGGAUCAAACGAAGGGAUGUAAUGAAGAAGGCAGAUAGAAUUUUAUGUUAAUAUUAUUUGAUUUUUACCUGAAGAUAAAUAAGACUCAAAGAGGUUAAAUGGGUUACCCAAGAAGAAACUCCUCACCUACCAAGAUGGUAUCAGCAACUCAACAAUAUGCAGUCAAGUUUCCACCAUCAUACCCUUCCGUUUGGACUGUAGACCCAACAACUAGGAGUUGACUGAAGUAAAUGAAUGCUGGAUCCAGGCAAGAAAUUGUCAAAAUAACAAGAUUGAGGUACCAGGGUGCCAAAUGGCAGACAGACUGAAGAACUAGGAAACAAAACAAGGUCAAACUAUGAACAAACUCUCACCGUAACAGAAGUUAAUAUAUAGGUUACAUCAACCAAGUAUAGGUAUCUUAUGGUCACAGUGUUAGGAGAAAAUAAUGUUUAUCCGAUUCUGCCUACAACUGUAGAUUGAAGAAAGAACCACUUGCUUUCUAGGUUUCUUAUAAAGGGUAUUUAUUGUAUUGUCUCUGACCAGCCCUGCCUUAAGGACACUGCUCAUUCAAUAGCACCUAGCAUCCACCGUCCCCAUGUUAAAUGCAGGAGCAGUCAUUUAAAAUACUGGGUCUUCCUCUCUGGUCUCAGCCUAGAUAGGUCUAGAGACAGUCAACUGACUCAAUCUGGGCCAAUCAGGUCUCUUUCUUGAGAUUUUUGAAUUUUGCACCCAGGCUGAAGCUUUAAGGCCAAGGAGCUGUUGGCAGCUCUGUUGCUCCAUUUAUUACCAUUCCUGAGUGCCAGCCCUUGUCUUUGGACCUGGCUUUGAUACCUUUGUUCCCUCAUAGCUCCUGUCUUCACCCAAACUGAUUGCAGUGGUUCAAGCUGUCAGCCCCAUGUAUAUCCAGUAGCAUCUGAAUUCACAAGGCACACGGCUUAGUUUUCAGGGAACUAAGCUGAGAUAAGGUAAGGGAUGUUCUAUACCCCUUGCUCUUCUUGGGAAAGACCUUGAAUUCAGACCUCUUAAGGAUGCUGAGGUUCUUGGACACAAACCCUCUUUGCUUCUCCACUAUGACAGCUUCCUACCCCUCCCAACUCCCGUAUCUUUAUGAGCUACUAAUUCUUCUUAGUACCUACAAUCUCACUGUAAUGAGACAUGGUCUUGGGAAGCAAUGAGUCUCUUUUGUGCUAAGAAGUAAAUAUUCUCGAAUGUGAUGAUUUGUACUCAGGGUGUUGGGAAGUGGGGAGCGAUAUGUUUAAAAUUUCUAGAGGGCAUUCUCUUGAGUAAAAAAAUGCACACGCAAUAUAUCAAUUGUUUUCAUAAUCUAAAACAUAGAAACAACUCAAUGUAACAGUUUUGUCUGGUUUUAGAUAUGCAGUAGUGUGAGAUUACAUUGAGGCGCAGAUUACAAAAUGAUUGAGAACCAUUUCAGAUUUUCUUAACCAUUUUUAAUAAGGUUUAACUUACAUGCAGUAAAGUAAACAGGUAAUAAGUGUAUAGCCCAGUGAAUUUAGUACAUAUGUAUACACCUGUAUAACUACCACCCAGAUCAAAAUUUAGAACAUUUCCAAUACCCUAGAGGGCUUCCUCAUAUCUCCUCCCAGUCAAUAACCACCACCUCCAAGAUAACCAUUCUGACCUCUAAUUAUCAUAGAUAACUUUUGCAUGUCUUGGAAUUUCAUAUAAAUGUAAUCAUACACUACAUACUCUUUUGUAUCUGCCAUCUUUUGUUUGACAUUUUAAAUGUUAAAUUCAUCCAUAUUGUAUGAAUAGUACUUUGUCCUUUUUCAUUGCUGCAUUAACGCAAAUGCAAUCGAAUCAUUGAAUAAACAUGCCUGUAAUUUAUUUGCCUAUUUUACUGUUGAUAGACAUUUGGGCAAUUUUUAGUUUAGGCCUAUAGGAAUAAGGUUGCCAUGAACAUUCUUGUACAUGUCUUUGGUAGACACAAGCACUUUUUGUUGGAUAUAAACUCCAGUGAGUCAUACAGCAUAGGUAUCGUUAGCUUCAGCAGAGACUGCCAAGUAGUUUUCCAAAGAAGUUGUAUCCACUCCACAAUUUAAACAGUUUGUUUACCAAAUAGCCACUGAGUACCUAUUAUGAGCCAGCCACUCCACUAGGCAUUGGGAAUACUGAGAGGAAGCAUGCACGUCCAUGGCCUAGAAGCGCUAAUAGCCUGGUAAUAUCAACAGAUACUUUUUAAAUAAUAUGGUAAGUGAUAGGUGAGAGGUGUGCCUGACAGGAGGAUCCUUUGGGGCUCUAAGGUUAGAUUCCCCGACUCCAGGUGACCAAAUGGAAGCUUGGCCAGGUAAAGAAGGGAUGGCAUUCGAGGAGAAGGUUGCAGAGGCUCCUCUAGCCCCUGCCAAGCCCUGCAGGCUCUUCUCUGGCUGGGAGUCUCAUUAAUGGAGCAGCCAGGCCCAGGCCAGGCUGUCAGGAGCGAACAAACGGCUGCCAACAUGAGCAAUGAUUUAAAGGAGAAGGUUAAGACGUCGGUGAGAUGAAUACCAUUGACUUCGCUGCCAUCCUGGAAGCAAUUCAUCAGGGCGGCUUGGCAAAGAGGGGCAUAAAUCCCUAGCCAGCGAGGCCAAGCAGGGCUCUGGGAGGAGGAACAGGAUGUGAUGGCAGCUUCCAGAGCUGUCUCCAGCUGGGCCUGUGCCAGCAUUUUGAAAAGCGUCAGUUGGGAGGAAUCCCCAGAAGAUGACUUUGUAGCUAGGGUCCCUCCUGUCCUGAGUCGUGGGUCACCGAGGAGGACACCCUCCCUAGUCACUUGCUGUUUGUGCUUCCCAUUCUGUGCACCCACUGGAGGUUUUUCUUGAAGCAGGCUCUGCAUUGCCUUCUCCUUCUCUUCAGCCUGAAUCUUGGCACUCCUGGAGACUCUUGGUUCAAAUGAUGUAUUUAUUUUCUUAACGAAAGGGAAAGAUUUAAGAGUGGGUGUGAAAUGCAUCCUCCUCCCUCCUCUGACCCUCCCACGUACUUCCUCCGGCAACCUGAGGCCCAGCUCAGCAGACACUUGGGAAGUCAACAGAAACAAACAUGGAGUGGGCAUUGCAGAGCACGUGAGUGGAUGAGAGAUUUUUAUGAGUGAAAUUUGCUCACAAGCUUCUUUAAUAAUGUUAUUCAUCUUUCUGUCAAAGUCAUCACAUUAAUGUAGCUGGAGAGAUUUAGAGGAGAUGAAUUAAGACUUAAAUACACAAAAUGACUUGGGGAAUAUUUAAAUACAAUACAUUUGAUUCUGGUGCAGCAUCCUUCCUCACGGGUGUUGCUCAUGACUCUUUCCAGGCCCACACAGCCUGGGAAUCAACAACUCCCCCUCUCCUGCCGCCUCCCUCCAAUGCUUCAUUCAUCCAACGCUUCCUGCACCUACCAUGUGUGAACUCAUUGUCUCCACAGAGCACAUAUACAAUAGCCUGGGUGCCUGUUCUGGCUUAGACAGGCCACUUUUCCUUUGGGUACCUCAGUUUCUUUAUUUGGAAAAUGGGUGGGGUUGGCUCUGAAUUUCAAAGGAUGCAGAGAUUCCUUAGAGACAGUUGCAGGGAAACAAAGGGAGCCCAGAUGCAGAGUCAUGGACCCUCUCCCAUCCCUUCAUCACAGUUCAUUGCUAUCUACCUGUACGUACUGGAAGUUGUGUAUUAUUUUAUUUAAAAUAAAAACGCUUUGGCUUUAAA